This 2089-nucleotide long non-coding RNA is filed under the name Lactuca sativa (garden lettuce). RNAcentral describes it as "long non-coding RNA (LSAT_LNC010194)". Lineage: Eukaryota; Viridiplantae; Streptophyta; Magnoliopsida; Asterales; Asteraceae. The record is from RNAcentral.
UGGCGAGUAUGAGCAAAAGAAGAAGACAUGAAAGAGUUGUGGGGGUUUCGGAUUAAUUUAAUUAAACAUGAGCAAUGUGGUUUUUAAGGUCAAUUCCGCUGUUAUUGGUUAUUACAGUUACUUAUAAAACCAAUAUGGCUACAAAUGUUUGUAAGGUUCAACAUUGUCAUAAAAUCAGGCCUCAAGUCCAACCUUAUCAUUCUAGCAUAUACCGUCAAAGCUUCACCUUCUCUUCCAUGUUUAGCAAGAGCAUAAUCACUGAAGCCCAAAUGUGUGAAUUCAUCUUCGUAAUUGAUGUUAAGAAAAAAACUUUUAUCAAGUACUCAAGGAAGACACAAUUAGAGUAACCCCAAAUUAGAUUGUUUCUUACACACAUGUAGUAAUCUCAUGCUUUUUUGAUAUCAGAAUCAACCGUCUUCAAACUUCUAAUUUNUUUUUUUUUUUUUUUUUUUUUUUUUUUUUUUUUUUUUUUGUACAAGUGAUGAUGACAGUGUGGCGAGUAUGAGCAAAAGAAGAAGACAUGAAAGAGUUGUGGGGGUUUCGGAUUAAUUUAAUUAAACAUGAGCAAUGUGGUUUUUAAGGUCAAUUCCGCUGUUAUUGGUUAUUACAGUUACUUAUAAAACCAAUAUGGCUACAAAUGUUUGUAAGGUUCAACAUUGUCAUAAAAUCAGGCCUCAAGUCCAACCUUAUCAUUCUAGCAUAUACCGUCAAAGCUUCACCUUCUCUUCCAUGUUUAGCAAGAGCAUAAUCACUGAAGCCCAAAUGUGUGAAUUCAUCUUCGUAAUUGAUGUUAAGAAAAAAACUUUUAUCAAGUACUCAAGGAAGACACAAUUAGAGUAACCCCAAAUUAGAUUGUUUCUUACACACAUGUAGUAAUCUCAUGCUUUUUUGAUAUCAGAAUCAACCGUCUUCAAACUUCUAAUUUUACUAUUAGAGAAAUUUUUUAUAAUUGUGGUUAGUGUUUGCUCGUUGGGACAGAGAUCUCUUAGUCCUGACAAACGCAAGCUAAUCACAAUAUGAAAAUUUUCCUCGAUGAUGCAAUUAAAUGUUUUCAAGAUGGUUCAUUCUUAUGUUAUCAAAUAAUCAAAGUACGAGAUUACUACAUCUUUAUGAGAAACAAUCUAAUUAAGGGUUAUUCUAAUUGUAUCUCUUUUGAGUACGCGAUAAAAGAUUUUCAUAACAUCAAGAUUAGGAAGAUAAAUUCGUAUAGUUGGAAUUCACUGAUCAAUGCUUUUUGCUAAACAUGGAAGAGGAGCUAAAGCUUUGGCAGUAUUUGAUAGAAUAAUAAGUUUGGAUUUGAAGAACAAUUAUGUGACAAUGUUUAAUGUUAUAAGCGCGUGUAGCCAUGUUAACUUUAUAAGCCAAGACAUACAAAUUUUCAUUAUACCGACCAUGGAGUUGGCCCCAAGUAAUCAAACUUUGUUCAUAUUUAGUUGACUUAAUCACAAGACCCGACUACUUGGUGGAAGCUAAGUUAUUGAUCCCAAGUUAGCGAGGAAGACUGUCGGUAAGGACUCAUUAAAUAUAAUUUUCGCUAGGAAGAGUUUCCAACAAAAAAAAUUGAAAUGAGGGUAGAAGGACUAGAAACAAUGGUGCUUUAGGAACCACAAUUGGCCAAAUUUGAUAAUAGACAGGUACAUAUAAGUAGCUUCUUUGUUAUCUCCUUUUAUUUUCAACGUAUUUGAAAAUGUCCCCCCUUUUUAACCACUUGUAGCUGUGUUCCUGGCAUUAUUGUCAAUAGCGAUCAUAGCGAUAGCUAUAGCGAAUAAUGAGGCGAGGCGAUGCAAUGUUGCAAUGGGGUUCAAAGUGACUGAAUAGCGACGUAGCGAUAUUUAUUGGUUUUCUUCAAAUUAGAUGUUUUUUUUUCUUCAAGAUUUUGAUUUGGAAGUUAUCAUUCCAAUAAAUGCACAUCCUCAUAACCAGAAAGGUUUGAUGGAAAUGCUGAAGGUAGUGCUCAAACUUCAAAAUUAAGGCUACCAUGUAUUAAAGAAGUUGAAGUUAAUGGUAUCACUGUGAAGAUCAAAUAUUGUGUUGAAAGAUUUGUCAUCAUUGCCCUUGGGUUGGACAAUGUAUAGGCCUGGUAAGAAGU